Molecule: ribosomal RNA, 768 nt
Filed under: Streptococcus agalactiae
Lineage: Bacteria; Bacillati; Bacillota; Bacilli; Lactobacillales; Streptococcaceae
Description: bacterial SSU rRNA
Rfam family: Bacterial small subunit ribosomal RNA
Source: RNAcentral
UUAAUGAGAGUUUGAUCCUGGCUCAGGACGAACGCUGGCGGCGUGCCUAAUACAUGCAAGUAGAACGCUGAGGUUUGGUGUUUACACUAGACUGAUGAGUUGCGAACGGGUGAGUAACGCGUAGGUAACCUGCCUCAUAGCGGGGGAUAACUAUUGGAAACGAUAGCUAAUACCGCAUAAGAGUAAUUAACACAUGUUAGUUAUUUAAAAGGAGCAAUUGCUUCACUGUGAGAUGGACCUGCGUUGUAUUAGCUAGUUGGUGAGGUAAAGGCUCACCAAGGCGAUGAUACAUAGCCGACCUGAGAGGGUGAUCGGCCACACUGGGACUGAGACACGGCCCAGACUCCUACGGGAGGCAGCAGUAGGGAAUCUUCGGCAAUGGACGGAAGUCUGACCGAGCAACGCCGCGUGAGUGAAGAAGGUUUUCGGAUCGUAAAGCUCUGUUGUUAGAGAAGAACGUUGGUAGGAGUGGAAAAUCUACCAAGUGACGGUAACUAACCAGAAAGGGACGGCUAACUACGUGCCAGCAGCCGCGGUAAUACGUAGGUCCCGAGCGUUGUCCGGAUUUAUUGGGCGUAAAGCGAGCGCAGGCGGUUCUUUAAGUCUGAAGUUAAAGGCAGUGGCUUAACCAUUGUACGCUUUGGAAACUGGAGGACUUGAGUGCAGAAGGGGAGAGUGGAAUUCCAUGUGUAGCGGUGAAAUGCGUAGAUAUAUGGAGGAACACCGGUGGCGAAAGCGGCUCUCUGGUCUGUAACUGACGCUGAGGCU